UACAUAGGGUGCUAGCGUUGCUCGGAAUGACUGGGAGUAAAGAACAUGUAGGAGGAUUAGUAAGUCAAAAGUGCAAUCCCUGAGCUUAACUCAGGAACUGCUUUUAAUACUGCUAAUCUGGAGGAAGAUAGAGGACAACGGAAUUCUUAGUGGAGGGGUUAAAUCCGUAGAUAUUAAGAGGAACACCGAAAGCGAAGGCAGUUGUUUGGGUCUUUCCUGACUCUGAGAUGUGAAAGCGUGGGGAGCAAAC
Molecule: ribosomal RNA, 250 nt
Filed under: uncultured prokaryote
Description: partial 16S ribosomal RNA
Rfam family: Bacterial small subunit ribosomal RNA
Source: RNAcentral